RNAcentral lists this ribosomal RNA (1482 nucleotides) under metagenome. Its description in RNAcentral is "bacterial SSU rRNA". It matches the Rfam family "Bacterial small subunit ribosomal RNA". The record is from RNAcentral.
UUGUAAUAUUGAUGAUUAAUUUGUAGCUUGCCAUAAAUUAUGAUUUGGUGUUACGAAUUGAUUCUAGUGGCAAACGGGUGAGUAACACGUGAGUAACUUACCCUUGACAGGUGUAUAACCUUGGGAAACUGAGGCUAAUUCGCCAUACUCUUAAAAAGAUAAUUUCUUUUUAAGGAAAGGUGUAUCGAAAGAUAUUUGGUCAAGGAGAGACUCGCGGUCUAUCAGUUAGUUGGUGAGGUAAUGGCUCACCAAGACUAUGACGGAUAGCUGGCCUAAAAGGGCGACCAGCCACAUUGGCACUGAGACACGGGCCAGACUCCUACGGGAGGCAGCAGUGGGGAAUUUUGGACAAUGGUCUAACGACUGAUCCAGCAAUACCGCGUGGAGGAUGAAGGUUUAAGGAUUGUAAACCCCUUUUAUGAAGGAAAAAGUUUUGUUCUGCAAAAUUGAUGGUACUUCAAGAAAAAGCCACGGCUAACUACGUGCCAGCAGCCGCGGUAAUACGUAGGUGGCAAGCGUUACUCGGAAUUACUAGGUGUAAAGCGUGGGUAGGCGGUUUUAUAAGUUGGAAGUGAAAGCUCCGAGAAAAUCGGAGUGGUCUUUCAAAACUAUUUGACUUGAGUAUAGGAGGGGGAGUCGGAAUUCCUGGUGUAGCGGUGAAAUGCGUAGAUAUCAGGAGGAACACCGAUGGCGAAAGUGGAUUCCUGGCCUAUUACUGACGCUGAGCCACGAAAGCGCAGGGAGCAAACAGGAUUAGAUACCCUGGUAGUCUGCGCCAUAAACGAUGCUCACUUGAUAUGGGAGGUGUCGACCCCUUCCGUGUCGAAGCUAACGCAUUAAGUGAGCCACCUGGGGAGUACGGCCGCAAGGUUGAAACUCAAAGGAAUUGACGGGGGCCCGCACAAGCGGUGGAGCAUGUGGUUCAAUUCGACCAACGCGAAGAACCUUACCCGGGCUUGAAGAGCUAGUUGUAUCCAGAUUGAAAAGUUUGGAGACCCGCAAGGGAGCUAGUAGAGGUGCUGCAUGGUUGUCGUCAGCUCGUGCCGUGAGGUGUAUGGUUAAGUCCCAUAACGAGCGCAACCCCUAUCCUAUGUUGCUAAUUCCGUUCUACGGAAUGCACUCUUAGGAGACUGCCCCGGUUAACGGGGAGGAAGGUGGGGAUGACGUCAAAUCAUCAUGGCCUUUAUGUCCGGGGCUACACACGUGCUACAAUGGUUGCUACAAAGGGACGCAAAACUGUAAAGUCAAGCAAAUCUCAAGAAAGUAACCUCAGUUCGGAUCGAGGGCUGCAAUUCGCCCUCGUGAAGUCGGAAUCGCUAGUAAUCGCUGAUCAGCAGGCAGCGGUGAAUACGUUCCCGGGCCUUGUACACACCGCCCGUCACACCAUGGAAGCUGGCUGCAAUAGAAGUGCUUCAACUAUCGAAGUCCUAAGUUGUGGUUGGUGACUGGGGUGAAGUCGAACAAGGUAGGCGUACGAACGUG